This 1194-nucleotide ribosomal RNA is filed under the name Gambierdiscus sp. UGt3. RNAcentral's name for it is "eukaryotic LSU rRNA". It matches the Rfam family "Eukaryotic large subunit ribosomal RNA", at positions 43 to 1280 of the family's 3401-position model. The record is from RNAcentral. Lineage: Eukaryota; Dinophyceae; Gonyaulacales; Pyrocystaceae.
UAAGUAGGCGGAGGAAAUGACACAAACAUGGAUUCACUGAGUAACUGCGAGUGACAUGUGAUUUGCUCACAGCUGAUAUUCUUUGCUGUCUGCUUUGACAUGAGGACUUUGAGUGCGGUGCCAAUGGUGGUGUAAGUGUGAGCCAUCUUUGAAAAGAGGAGAGUGUGCACUGACAAGGGUGAGAAGCCUGUGUGUGCUUGCAAAAUCUCCAUAUGGGGGUCACGCUUUGAGAAUCAUGCUCUUAAAGUGGGUGGUAGACUCUUCUCAAAGCUGAGUACAGAACUGGGACCGACAGGGAAGAAGUACCAUGAGGGAAGUGUGAAAAGGACUUUGGAAAGAGACUUAAAAGAGCCUGUACUUGCUGAAGGAUAUGCAUACAGCAUGCUUGCAUGUGAGAUGAUUGCUGUGUGUAUGAGUCUGACUUUGGCUGGAUGGCCAUGGCCGUGUGCCAUGGACACUUGGCCACCCAAUGUGUAUCCUCUUGUGUGUGCCAGCAUGUGGGAGACAGUCAGUGUUUGAGUGCAGUGGUUGCUGUGUCUGGGGAUACAUCAGAUGUGCACUCAAAGAUCUGAGCAUGUUGAGAAGCAGGUGCAGAAGGGCCCUCCUGUCUGUAUGACCCGUCUUGAAACACGGACCAAGGAGUCUAGCAUGAGUGCAAGCAUAUGGGACCGAAGGCUCUGUGUGCAAUGAAGGUGGAGUCCCAGAUUUGUGCAUGAGUGUUCAAACAAGCAGGAGGACAAGGUUUGAGUCUGAGCAUUCCUGACAGGACCCGAAAGAUGGUGAACUAUGCCCGGAAAGGGCCAAGUCAGGGGAAACUCUGGUGGAGGCUCGUAGCGUUACUGACGUGCAAAUCGUUCGUCACACCUGGGUAUGGGGGCGAAAGACUAAUCGAACCAUCUAGUAGCUGGUUCCCUCUGAAGUUUCCCUCAGGAUAGCUGAACUUGCAGGACUUUCACCAGGUAAAGCGAAUGAUUGGAGGAAUUGGGGGUUGCAGACCUUUGACCUAUUCUCAAACUUUUAAUGGCUAAUGAUGACUCUUAGUGGGCCACUUUUGGUAAGCAGAACUGGCGAUGAGGGGUGAACCUGAUGAUGGGUUAAGGCACUGAAGUUCUCGCUCAUCAGAAACUGUAAAGGGUGUUGGCUCAUUCUGACAGCAGGUCGGUGGUCAUGGAAGUUGAAAUCCGCUUGGGAGUG